This 465-nucleotide ribosomal RNA is filed under the name Vreelandella stevensii. Its description in RNAcentral is "partial 16S ribosomal RNA". It matches the Rfam family "Bacterial small subunit ribosomal RNA", at positions 338 to 795 of the family's 1533-position model. The record is from RNAcentral. Lineage: Bacteria; Pseudomonadati; Pseudomonadota; Gammaproteobacteria; Oceanospirillales; Halomonadaceae.
CCUACGGGCGGCAGCAGUGGGGAAUAUUGGACAAUGGGCGAAAGCCUGAUCCAGCCAUGCCGCGUGUGUGAAGAAGGCCUUCGGGUUGUAAAGCACUUUCAGUGGGGAAGAAAGCCUUGGGGCUAAUACCCUCGAGGAAGGACAUCACCCACAGAAGAAGCACCGGCUAACUCCGUGCCAGCAGCCGCGGUAAUACGGAGGGUGCGAGCGUUAAUCGGAAUUACUGGGCGUAAAGCGCGCGUAGGCGGUCUGAUAAGCCGGUUGUGAAAGCCCCGGGCUCAACCUGGGAACGACAUCCGGAACUGUCAGGCUAGAGUGCAGGAGAGGAAGGUAGAAUUCCCGGUGUAGCGGUGAAAUGCGUAGAGAUCGGGAGGAAUACCAGUGGCGAAGGCGGCCUUCUGGACUGACACUGACGCUGAGGUGCGAAAGCGUGGGUAGCAAACAGGAUUAGAUACCCCAGUAGUC